Molecule: ribosomal RNA, 588 nt
Filed under: Hanseniaspora uvarum
Lineage: Eukaryota; Fungi; Ascomycota; Saccharomycetes; Saccharomycodales; Saccharomycodaceae
Description: eukaryotic LSU rRNA
Rfam family: Eukaryotic large subunit ribosomal RNA
Source: RNAcentral
GGAGGAAAAGAAACCAACUGGGAUUACCUUAGUAACGGCGAGUGAAGCGGUAAAAGCUCAAAUUUGAAAUCUGGUACUUUCAGUGCCCGAGUUGUAAUUUGUAGAAUUUGUCUUUGAUUAGGUCCUUGUCUAUGUUCCUUGGAACAGGACGUCAUAGAGGGUGAGAAUCCCGUUUGGCGAGGAUACCUUUUCUCUGUAAGACUUUUUCGAAGAGUCGAGUUGUUUGGGAAUGCAGCUCAAAGUGGGUGGUAAAUUCCAUCUAAAGCUAAAUAUUGGCGAGAGACCGAUAGCGAACAAGUACAGUGAUGGAAAGAUGAAAAGAACUUUGAAAAGAGAGUGAAAAAGUACGUGAAAUUGUUGAAAGGGAAGGGCAUUUGAUCAGACAUGGUGUUUUUUGCAUGCACUCGCCUCUCGUGGGCUUGGGCCUCUCAAAAAUUUCACUGGGCCAACAUCAAUUCUGGCAGCAGGAUAAAUCAUUAAGAAUGUAGCUACUUCGGUAGUGUUAUAGCUUUUUGGAAUACUGUUAGCCGGGAUUGAGGACUGCGCUUCGGCAAGGAUGUUGGCAUAAUGGUUAAAUGCCGCCCGUCU